This is a long non-coding RNA of Sander lucioperca (pikeperch), 527 nucleotides long. RefSeq lists it as uncharacterized. NCBI's taxonomy places the organism in Eukaryota, Metazoa, Chordata, Actinopteri, Perciformes, Percidae. The record is from RefSeq and is a predicted model, not a curated record. The transcript is spliced from 3 exons.
GAAUGGCCGCAUAGCACUUGGAUAAUUACAGCAGGAGGCUUGAGGCAGAGGUAUGGUGCAGAUCAACAGGUGUUUAUUUCCCCAACAAUUAACACAAACAUGGACGCCAUGAUCACAACCAGCAAACUGAACACCACAGGCAGCAUGUGGUCCAGACAGCAGUAGUGCUAGAUGGAAACUGGCAGCCUUUUAUAUCCUGCCACUGACCUUAUCUCGACCCUACCAUAGUACAAGUUAAGUCUGAAAUGUACUUAAUUUGAACAAUUAUACAAAAUACAACAACCACAUCAAAUACAUUUCUACUUCUCUACUGUUAUCUCAAUGUACUUGCAUUAUGUUACCUAAUACAAUCAAACAUAGUUAGUUUAGCAAGUACAGUCAAUUAAAGUACUCCAACACUCCUUCGCUACAUGAAACAUGGUAUCUCCCGGAACCUUUAAAAUGGGGCUCGAUACACUGGGGACUCUUUUAGCCUGAACACUCUGGAGAGGAGACACAACAGAGGUGAGACAUCAGCAACUGUCUCU